Molecule: non-coding RNA, 46 nt
Filed under: Schistosoma mattheei
Lineage: Eukaryota; Metazoa; Platyhelminthes; Trematoda; Strigeidida; Schistosomatidae
Source: RNAcentral
GGACUGCUGAGGAGUCCCAUACCAGGACGAAACGGCCGUCCAGUGC